AGAAAAGAAGAAGAGACAUGCCUCCACCUUCCGCUGGUAUCUGCGGUUGUAUAUCUAAUAUUCUAUCUUCUUGUUUCUAUUGUCUCUGUUGCUGCUGUCUCUUGGAGACUUGUUGUGGCCCAAUCUUUGGUAGACCACCUCCUCCUCCUCCUGGGCCUUGGGGCUCGGGCCCGGGCCCAGGCCCUGGUUUCUGAUGGAGACUCUGUGUGAUGGUUGUUCUCUGGGAUUGAAUUAUGAAGGCACUACUUGAGUGAAUUUUAAUCAUAAUAAGCUCCGUGAGAUGAUAUGUGAAAUAAAAUCAGAAAAAUAAUGAUAUUCUUAUACUGUUUCUCAUC
Long non-coding RNA from Vigna unguiculata (cowpea), 335 nucleotides. RefSeq lists it as uncharacterized. NCBI's taxonomy places the organism in Eukaryota, Viridiplantae, Streptophyta, Magnoliopsida, Fabales, Fabaceae. The record is from RefSeq and is a predicted model, not a curated record.